RNAcentral lists this long non-coding RNA (468 nucleotides) under Mus musculus (house mouse). RNAcentral describes it as "predicted gene, 38127". The record is from RNAcentral. Lineage: Eukaryota; Metazoa; Chordata; Mammalia; Rodentia; Muridae.
UUUAGUAAUCUCUUUAUAGUACAAAUGAAAGUUUUAUUUCAAAUACUUAUAUCUGUGUUUGACUAGAUUCAGAACACAGACAAAGUUGGACUCCUGAAUAUAGCACUUGUGGCCUAAAACAAUUGCUUUGUCUGUCACAGUUAGCGAGUUGGGUUCCUAUUACUUUUUCAUAUUUGGAUUGCUUGUUGAAGGUCAUAUAAUUCUCCUGAAGGACAACAGGCAAAUGGCUCACAUCAGUGGCAUCACAUGGGCCAUUCAUUUUCAGUCCAAUGAUGCAGCCGAAUAAUCCUGCUAGGCAUGAAGAACUUGCUGCAUGGUAAAAUGGGUAGGAAAUUAUAAGUAUCGAUUCAGAUAAUAUAUACCUUUUGAGAAUUAGCUUCACAUUUCUAAUGUCCGCACAAAAUAGCUUUCUUGAUUUAAGUUACAGUUGCUAUGUUUCACUCAGAUAAUCUAUAAAGGCAAAAUGAG